AUGCAGAAAAGUGGCAGUGGUCUUUUCACCGAGCGUCUGUCUGGAGCAAUCUCUCUCUCUCUCUCACUCUCUCUCUCACUCUCAUUGUUGUUCAGGGUGGAGGCUGAAACUGGAUUUAACUGACUCCUAAAGAAAGUAAAGAGAACUGAAGGAGAGGAUAAGGUGUGUUGAUGAAGUGAAUGUAAAGAACAGAUCACCACAUUGAACAGAAAGCCGAUGUUGAAGUGGAAAAAUGGAUGAAUCUACAAACUCAACAUGAAUUUGCACAUUUCACACAGAGAUUUUUCGGGCAGUGGAAUUGGCCUAGUCUGCACCCCAAGCCUGACUCCAUAUUGCCGCCAGGUGUAGGCUGACUCCGGUAUGGACAACGAACUGGUCAGCACCAGAAACAGUCUUCCUUCACCGCAUUUGGUGAAGGAACAAAAACAGGCUCUGAUGGGUAGAGAUCUGGCUGGCACCAUACCUGGGCUGAUGUGGGUCACAGAGCCAGAGGACACCAAAUCACAAGCAGGUGCUUGGAGUGUGCAAAUACUGUGCUAUGCGCAUAAACUUCAUCUAGCUGGCCAAGGCAAAAUUAAUGCCCUCGCAUUGUUUCCUUUA
Misgurnus anguillicaudatus (oriental weatherfish) is the source of this 600-nucleotide long non-coding RNA. RefSeq lists it as uncharacterized. The record is from RefSeq and is a predicted model, not a curated record. Lineage: Eukaryota; Metazoa; Chordata; Actinopteri; Cypriniformes; Cobitidae.